RNAcentral lists this long non-coding RNA (710 nucleotides) under Setaria viridis. RNAcentral's name for it is "long non-coding RNA (SVIR_LNC000443)". Lineage: Eukaryota; Viridiplantae; Streptophyta; Magnoliopsida; Poales; Poaceae. The record is from RNAcentral.
UGUGGAGGUGUUUGGGUGUGUUAACCCAGGUUAGCUCUCGAUCAAGGGUGGGGUUUGGGUGUGUUGACCCAAGCUCACGUGUCAGCGUGUGGGGGUAGGCCGGGGUUGAGUGAGAAAAGUCCAGAGUGGGAGGGUUCGGGAUAAUUAUUAGGAAGUAUAUGUGUAUUUUAGGAUUUAUUAUCCUUUCCUUGUACACUUGAUAUAUUCCUUGUACUCCAAGCCAUAUUUGCUAUAUAUAUAUAGGUCACCCUACCUCAUUAGGGUGUGUUGUGUUUUCCCAUCUACUUCUCUACAUGGUAUUAUGAGAUUAAGGUCAUGGGCCUCCUCUACCUAUGCCUUCCUCCUACUCCGCAUAACCCUAGGCAGCGUCCCCCCUACUACGCUGCCGCCACCAACCCUUUGCUGCACCUACCCGACCGGCUCCCCGACUGGUCCCCCGACCGCCCCUCCCCCCCGGGUCGUGCACCAUUGUGGCGGAACCGCCCAAAUUAACCCGACUAAAAUGCAUUGAAGUCGCCUGACACGCGAUUAUGCACUUUAAGCAAGUCAACUUGGUUGACCAUCGGAUUUCAUCCGAUUAACCACAUAAACAGGAUCGAGAAGCAUCGCUCACGCGAAGGUGAGUAGCACAGAGGUUACAACAUUCCAUUACGACAACUUAGUUCAACAUUUUAUUACAUCAGAGUUUUCGAAAUUCAGACCGGAAUUGC